GAGAUAGUAAAAUUGUAGCCUGUCUAUAGGCGAUGAUUUUAUAAAAUUAAAAUAUAGACUGCACUCGGAGAAAGCUGUGAAACAAUACUUUCGGACAGGAGUUCGAUUCUCCUCAUCUCCACCA
RNAcentral lists this transfer RNA (124 nucleotides) under Megamonas hypermegale ART12/1. RNAcentral's name for it is "tRNA-Und (NNN) (tRNA-Und-NNN-1-1)". It matches the Rfam family "transfer-messenger RNA", at positions 236 to 374 of the family's 374-position model. From Rfam's summary of the family: Bacterial tmRNA, also known as 10Sa RNA or SsrA, is named for its dual tRNA and mRNA-like properties. Its role is to liberate the mRNA from a stalled ribosome. Lineage: Bacteria; Bacillati; Bacillota; Negativicutes; Selenomonadales; Selenomonadaceae. The record is from RNAcentral.